GCCUGGGUGGCUCAGUUGGUUGAGCGUCUGACUUCGGCUCAGGUCAUGAUCUCACAGUGCGUGGGUUCGAGCUCGCGUCGGGCU
RNAcentral lists this transfer RNA (84 nucleotides) under Felis catus (domestic cat). It matches the Rfam family "tRNA". From Rfam's summary of the family: Transfer RNA (tRNA) molecules are approximately 80 nucleotides in length. The record is from Rfam by way of RNAcentral. Lineage: Eukaryota; Metazoa; Chordata; Mammalia; Carnivora; Felidae.